UACGGAGGGUGCUAACGUUGCUCGGAAUCAUUGGGCGUAAAGCGCACGUAGGCGGCCGUGCAAGCUGGAUGUGAAAGCCCAGGGCUCAACCCUGGAAGUGCAUCCAGAACUGCAUGGCUUGAGUACCAGAGGGGGUCGGAGAAUUCCCGGUGUAGAGGUGAAAUUCGUAGAUAUCGGGAGGAAUACCAGAGGCGAAGGCGCCGACCUGGAUGGAUACUGACGCUGAGGUGCGAAAGCGUGGGGAGCGAAC
RNAcentral lists this ribosomal RNA (250 nucleotides) under uncultured bacterium. RNAcentral describes it as "partial 16S ribosomal RNA". It matches the Rfam family "Bacterial small subunit ribosomal RNA", at positions 524 to 773 of the family's 1533-position model. The record is from RNAcentral.